UAGGGAAUCUUCCACAAUGGACGCAAGUCUGAUGGAGCAACGCCGCGUGAGUGAAGAAGGGUUUCGGCUCGUAAAGCUCUGUUGUUAAAGAAGAACGUGGGUAAGAGUAACUGUUUACCCAGUGACGGUAUUUAAUCAGAAAGCCACGGCUAACUACGUGCCAG
Molecule: ribosomal RNA, 164 nt
Filed under: uncultured bacterium
Lineage: Bacteria
Description: partial 16S ribosomal RNA
Rfam family: Bacterial small subunit ribosomal RNA
Source: RNAcentral